GGAAAGAUGAAAAGAACUUUGAAAAGAGAGUUAAACAGUACGUGAAAUUGUUGAAAGGGAAACGAUUGAAGUCAGUCAUACCAACGGGAAAUCAACCUUUUGAGCUUUGUCUCGUGGGUUCGAAGAGUUUAAACGCCUUCGGGUUCGCGAGAUUGGGAUCUUCUGGUGUACUUUCUCGUACGGUUAGUCAACAUCGGUUUUGAAUGUCAUAAGAUGACUGGAGGAAUGUAGCUUCGAUCUCGUAUCGAAGUGUUAUAGCCUUUGGUAGAUGUGAUGUUUGAGACCGAGGAUUGCAACGGAUACCCUUCAUGGGCUAUUCGUCUGAUCUCUGAUACGUUGCCUUGACGUUGAAAGCUUGCUUAUGAUGUUAGGGUAUUACGGUCAAAAGGUUAGAACGGAUUAAAUUCGUUAAGGAUGUUGACGUAAUGACUUUAAACGACCCGUCUUGAAACACGGACCA
Molecule: ribosomal RNA, 460 nt
Filed under: Funneliformis coronatus
Lineage: Eukaryota; Fungi; Glomeromycota; Glomeromycetes; Glomerales; Glomeraceae
Description: LSU rRNA
Rfam family: Eukaryotic large subunit ribosomal RNA
Source: RNAcentral